Molecule: long non-coding RNA, 1078 nt
Organism: Canis lupus familiaris (dog)
Lineage: Eukaryota; Metazoa; Chordata; Mammalia; Carnivora; Canidae
Exons: 3
Source: RefSeq, a predicted model, not a curated record
GGAAUCGGGAUUGCAGUGUACUUGUGCAGCUGCUACCUUUGGCACCUACAGAAAUAUUUCUUACCAAAUGGUGACCGAAGCAUCAGAACAGAUGCGCAAGAAAAACUGGGCAAUUUCAUCUUGGUUUCCGGUUCUUGGAAAGAUGAUAAACUCAAAUUCCGGUGAACAUGUAGGAGGCAAUUAUCUGCAGUCUAUCUCGAGUUGCUGCAGGGGUGAGUGGGUUCUCAGGGUAACCUGGGGGUCAGCUGGUCUGCUUCUGUCCCCUAGCGGUUGGCUCAGAAUCAUUGAUACACCUUAACCUUGCGCAGUGCUUGGCUUUCUGUACAGGAAAGGGGAGACCAUGGUCUCUAGAAACGAAGAAGAGGGAGUAUCUUUGCGUGGUGGCCCGCACCUUGUAAAAUUGGAGCUUCCAGAGUGUCUUUCAUUUUUCGUGUAGCUACCUAGUAACUACCUAGAGGCUGACCUAUAAAGAACUUCACCAACUCUUACUUUGCUUAAGUCUGGCCAUGCCCUCAAAAAAUAUCGUGGCUUCUUUAUUCUGCAUAUCUGAAAUAUUUGGCCGGAACAAGAAAAGGAGCUUUAGAAGCCUUAUUCACAGUAACCAAGACACGGAGGCAACCCAAAUGUCCACCUUCAGAUGAGCAGCUCCACAGAAUGUGAUAUAUCCAGACGCUGGAACGUUAUUCAGCCUUGGAAAAAAAGGAAGGAGAUUCUGAACGUGCCACAACAUGGACAAAGCUUGAGGACAUCAUGCGGAGUGACAUAAGCCAGUCACAAAGAGACAAAAAAAUCUUGUAUGAUUCUACUUACAUGAAGCAUCUAAAGUAAUCACACUCAGAAAGAGAAAUGAAACAAAAACAAAGUUAGAAUGGGUAUCAGGGGCUGCCAGCAGGUUGAGAGAGAGAGUUGGUUUAAUGGGCAGAGAGUUCCAGAUCUGCAAGAAGGAAAAGUUCUGGAGAUUGAAGGCACAGCAACACGAAUAUACUUAGCACUACUGAACCGUGUACUUGCCAACAGUUAACAUGAUAAGUUUUUUUUUAAAGAUUUUAUUUAUUUAAGAGAGACACACACAGAGAGA